Mercenaria mercenaria is the source of this 3137-nucleotide long non-coding RNA. RefSeq lists it as uncharacterized. Lineage: Eukaryota; Metazoa; Mollusca; Bivalvia; Venerida; Veneridae. The record is from RefSeq and is a predicted model, not a curated record. The transcript is spliced from 4 exons.
AUGCUAAUAAUUAGUUUAUUUGUCAAAAUAAAUGUUUUGUAAAUAUGCGGUAAAGGAAAUAAAAAAGACGAACACCGCUGUGUUUCGUUCAUACUGUAUUUCAAAAGAUUAAAUUAAUGUCGGCUGUCAGAGAUUUUUCUUACAUUGAAGAAAAUAUUCAUCAUCAUGCAGAAUUCGACGUAUCAUUUCCGUCGGAUGAUGAUUCCGACGAUGAAAUUUCAUUAUCAGAGAAAUGAAUGGUCGGAAAAUGUUAAGUUUUAGAAGGCUGAAAUAUCCGUACACUUACAUCGCAUUAAAUACAAAUGGAUAAAAAUAAUACAACAAAACAUGUUUCAUACAUGAAAUGUGUGUAAAUAAAUGCUUUUGUAAAUUUAAUAAUUCUUUAAAGAUGGGUGUACAUAUUACAGCUUAACUGUCUCAGUUCGCGUCACACAAGGUUUGUUUACAUCAAAAUAAACCAUCGAUAUUCCCUCAAAAAUGGGUGUUAAUUUUGAGUAAUGCUGAUGUAAAUACUCUGUGUUAAUAAUGUAUUUCUAUUUAUUGGAAUUUAAUCUGCUUACAUGUGAAAAAGUAAUAAAAUCGGAAAUGUUCAAAUAUUUAUUAAAUGCAGUAGGUGUGUAAAAAUGGUGAAUGUUUCGAAGUGAAAUUAUUAUUUUAUUUGGAUAUAAGUUACGGACAAAAGUGGAAAAAUGUUCAAACUUGGAAGAUUUUAUAAGUAAAGUUUUUAAUAAUAUUUCCAUGCAUGAUUUCAAUUGACUGCCUGUGAGAGUGUGGUUAUGAUAAAAUCAGAUAUUGUUCAUCGACGUCAGGUGGUAAUUCUUAUCUCGCCGCAGCAUGUAUAUUAUGAUAUCGGCCUCAGGGAGUUAAAGAUUGCGAAGUUUAUCCCUGAUAAAUGUCUUCAAUUAUUGGAUAUUUUUACACUACAUACAAAAUAUGUACGUGACUGUGUACUCGAGUUCAUGUCGAACAAAAUGAAAGUAUAAAAACUCUUGUUUGGUGUUGUUUAAAUUUAUGAGUAUGGAUUAAAUACUGAAAUGUACAUAUCAUUUUGUGCCAGUGAAUGAAAUUUCUUUUCGUCUGGAUAAGUGUGUAGCAGGGAAAAUACACCGAAUUUAAAUUGGCACGCUUCAAAACAUGACACAGCAUUUCUCGACAAGCGCGGUCAGAUCAUAAAACUUUCAGGCCUCAUAUUGUUUUUAUGCUAUGUCGAAAAAAUUCAUCCUUAUAAAACAAAGAUUGUAUUCAGAUUAUGUCUUCUUUAACAUAAAAAAUGCGAGUCCAGCAGAUUUCCACAGAAGAGCCUUGUCCACGAUUGGCUCGCAUACCAGAUGCUUAAAGAUUCACAACUUACGAUAUUGCGCAUAUUUCUUAAAAUCUACGGCCAAACCCUAAGGAAGGAGACGACUCUGUGACAUAAACAAUGCUGGACCUCUGACUCUGAGACAGUUGAGCACUAUAUUUUCAAAUGAUCAAGCUUCACUACACAGAGAGAAGAGUGGAGGUCAUGGAAUUGCAGCUUUAGAAUGAGUCAGUAUAGGUUGUUUUAAUUUAUUGUGGAAAAAUUACAAUUACAGAGCCUACCAAAACUGAUACAUAUUUUGAUGAAAUUACACUGUCUGGAAGGAGUGUUUUGUAUGUGUUAGUUGUAACUAGCUUAUAUACUGAGCUCUAACAAUAUUAAGCAAUUUAGACUUUCAUGAAUUUUGUUUUUAGCUCGACUGUAUUAAUUGUGGAGAGCUGUCCUACUUAGCCCGGCGUUUACGUCCUUACACGUCUGCUCCGUUUAAGUUUUGAUGCACUUUCUUUUUAUCUCUGUAAUGACUCGAUGGAUUUGUUUCAAACUUAAAAUAGUUAUUUCACAUCAUCACUAACAUCAUAUGGUACAAAGACAUUGCUCUUACACCAAUAUUUCAUUAAUUAUUCCUCCUUUUACUUAACAUUUCGGGUUAAAGUUUUGAUGCAGAUGCACUUUCACUCAUUCUCAGUUAUUAUUAAAUGGAUUAGAGUCAAACUUGACAUAGUUGUUUGACAUCAUGACCCACAUCACAUGACACAACUCCAUAAUUCUAGAGGCAAUUUGUUAUGAAUUAUGCCCCCUUCACUUAGAAUUUGAGGUCAAUUUUGAUGCAUUUUCACUACGUCUCUGUUAUUAACAGAGAAAGUUUGAUUCACACUUAAAAUAGUUGUUCCACAUGAUCAUUCACAUCAUACAACACAAGGUCCAUAACUCUGGCACCGAUUUUUUAUGAAUUUAUACCCUCUUUAAAUUUGAAUUUAUGGUUAAUUUUGACUAUAUCAUUGAUUUUACAGAGCAGAUUUGAUUCAAGCUUGAAUUGAUUGUUUAACAUCAUCAUUCACAUCAUUAGACAUAAGGGAUCAUUUAUCUCAAUCACCAGUUCUUCAUGAAUUUAUUUUCUCCCCUAGAAGAAUUCCAGGUUACAGUUUUGGUGCACUUUCACUCUAUCUCAGGUACUUCUAAAUGGAUUUGAUUCAAACUUAAUAAAGUAGUUGUUCCACAUCAUCACGCAAAUCUCAUGACACUAGGUACAUCACUCUUGCAUCAUUAUUUUAUGAAUUAUGACCUUUGUUGUAGACGUUUUAGAAUUUUACUUAUGUUUUAAUAAACUUUAUCUAUCUUAUUACUUAAUAAUUUUGACACGGGCUCAAGUUAGGCAAAAAAUAGGUCCGUUUCGAGUUUCCUGUCAAAACAAAAGAGGGUAUGUAGGUAGGACUUCUUGUUUUGAUGCCUUGAAAUUCUUCGACGAUGAAGAGCUGCAAGGUAAAUAAUCAUACUGGUUAAAUAUGCCAUCAGCUAAUUUGUGAUCUGGAACAGUUGUAAGUUGUUGGCCGUUUUAUAAUGCAAAAAAGUUUUAUCAAAGCCAAAAGUCUAUGUUUAAAUCCUUUCCGCAGCUGUAAAGUAAUUAAACGUAUUUGCGUCUGAUGAACCUUUCAGGCGUCCGUAGAAUCAAAAUUUAAAAUCUAUUACCUAAAAUUCAUCUUGAAAAUAUUUUUGAAACGUCUAAGUCUGCAGCUCUCAAAUACGGAUUUUUUUACAUUUUAGGCAUAUAUUGACACUUUCAGACAAAUAGGACUUUUUGAGUGAUUUGAUUAAGUUCCAGAAUCCUCUAUGUACCCUU